AUUGAACGCUGGCGGCAUGCUUUACACAUGCAAGUCGAGCGGCAGCGCGGGGGCAACCCUGGCGGCGAGCGGCGGACGGGUGAGUAAUGCAUCGGAACGUAUCCCGUAGUGGGGGACAACCCAGCGAAAGCUGGGCUAAUACCGCAUAUGCUCUACGGAGGAAAGUGGGGGACCAGCAAUGGCCUCACGCUAUGGGAGCGGCCGAUGUCCGAUUAGCUAGUUGGUGGGGUAAAGGCUUACCAAGGCGACGAUCGGUAGCUGGUCUGAGAGGAUGAUCAGCCACACUGGGACUGAGACACGGCCCAGACUCCUACGGGAGGCAGCAGUGGGGAAUUUUGGACAAUGGGGGCAACCCUGAUCCAGCCAUGCCGCGUGCGGGAAGAAGGCCUUCGGGUUGUAAACCGCUUUUGGUCGGGAAGAAAGGGCUCUCUCUAAUACGGGGGGCUGU
RNAcentral lists this ribosomal RNA (448 nucleotides) under uncultured Burkholderiales bacterium. RNAcentral describes it as "bacterial SSU rRNA". It matches the Rfam family "Bacterial small subunit ribosomal RNA", at positions 28 to 476 of the family's 1533-position model. Lineage: Bacteria; Pseudomonadati; Pseudomonadota; Betaproteobacteria; Burkholderiales. The record is from RNAcentral.